Nerophis ophidion (straightnose pipefish) is the source of this 2837-nucleotide long non-coding RNA. RefSeq lists it as uncharacterized. The transcript is spliced from 4 exons. The record is from RefSeq and is a predicted model, not a curated record. NCBI's taxonomy places the organism in Eukaryota, Metazoa, Chordata, Actinopteri, Syngnathiformes, Syngnathidae.
AUUACAUGUACGCAGCAUCACAUGACGCACGGCUUGAUGUCCUGGUAGGAGACCUGCUGGUGAUGAUGGUAGUAGGAGCCGCUGCUCGGCGAGUGCAUGGCCGAGGACGUCAUGGCGUUGAAGGAGAAGACGAACUCCUUCCGGUCACACAUACUGGGGGACUGGGUGUGGUACCGAGGGAUGCCUGCGUGCAUGCAAGGCCACAGGACGCCCGGGGAGUGAAGUGGAUUUCUCUGCCGGACUCUGAGCGCACAACUUCGGGUGCAGGAUGCAUGGACUUGAGCUACAAGGACCUUACUGCAGGCACCAUCUGAACGAUGCAUUGAAGCAAGCUGGCUCUGUCCCACACACCGAGUGGGAGCAAGUUAUUGGUGCCCCACCCUGUGGCUGAACACACCUCACAUACAGGGCCUCCCCAUCACGGUGUGACUGAGUUGCUAUUGAGCCGUCAAUAAUAGGAGAGGAGUCAAAAACCGCAGUGGAGAAGACAGGAAGAGACUUGGUGGACCACCACAGCAGACUGGAGUGGGCAGGCAUGUGGCUUCGGCCACAGGAAGCUGUGAAUUCUUUGGAGAAUGGAAGAUGUCUUGCUAGCCCCCCACCGACCCUCCACUCCCAUCUGCACCCCACCACCGCCCAUACGCUUACCCCAGAAUGACCCCUGACCCGUCUGUAUGUUUAUAUCAGAGCGUGGAAGUGAGAAAUAGUGAUGAGUCACUCUGGCCGUGUGUUUACACUCCAGAGUCACGCAAGGAAGGAAAUCAGCCACGGUCUGCUACAAGUGGCGAGCUGGGAGACAGAAUAGCUGCCACAGAGGCGCACCUUUCUAUAAGCGGGAGUUUAGGAUUUCCUUUACCUGAGAUCUGCUGUAAACGCUAUUGGCUUGCAAAACAUGCUAAACACUAUUUCCAAUGUACUCAUUAUACAUGUUUUGGCACCAUUACAGUGGAAGUGCACCACUGUUUUUUUCCCAUUGCAUGCAAUUCUAACCAUAUCAGUAUUUCUAGAGUGCCCAAGGUCCAGAGGUGAUUGAGAUUUUGCAGUAGCAACGCUCUCCCUCUGAAUCUCAGCGCUGCAUGCAACAUCUCUUGAGACUUUUAAAUCUUUAUUAAAAACACUUUUAUUUGUGCUGGCGUUUUACCGAAAGCUGAGCUGGACAUUGUAGUUUUUAUUUAUGUCUUUUCACUAUUGUAAUGGAUAUUCCUUAUUUUAUUUACAGUGACUAUUUUUAUUUUAUUUUUUUUAACUGAUUUGUUCAUUUAGUUGUAUUUUUCUAGCACUUAUGUAGAUCUUUAUAAAAUGUAUUUCUUUCUUUUUCCCCCCCAAUUGGCACUAUGAAAAAAUUGCGCUAAAAUAGGGAAGGGUUUUAUAUGGCCCUGUUCCUGGGUGGAUCUUGCGUGGGAGGAAAGAGGGGGUGGUGGAGUUUAUCAUUUUGCAGUGCAGUCUGCUGAAAAUGAUGGAAAGCGCCACUCUAUAUAGCGACUGACACUGUGGUCAAAGUUAGAAUUACUACAAAAUAUAUUUUAAGAUAUUCAACACUACUGGUGUGUGAAUGUGAGUGUGAAUGUUGUCUGUCUAUCUGCGUUGGCCCUGCGAUGAGGUGGCGACUUGUCCAGAGUGUACCCCGCCUACCGCCUGAUUGUAGCUGAGAUAGGCUCCAGUGACCCCUGCAACCUGAAAGGGACAACCGGUAGAAAAUGGAUGGAUGAAAUGGUGGUUAAAGUUGACAGUGCACUCAAUGACCUAAAUGACCACAUUUGGAUAUUUUAUGCAUUACGGGAACAAUGUACUUCCAAUUUCCGGUAACAAAUGUGUGUUCAAACAAACAAAUGUGUGUUGUAAUUAUGGCAGACUUGGUAAAAAUCAACAAAGACGACUAUUUUUGGACAUAUGAGGAUACACAACCUUAUCUUUUUGAAGCUUAAAUAUAUUGAGGAUGAAUUGCUGCUUAUCGAAGCGAGCAAGAAGAGAGGCUGAAAUAUUGGAGCAGACGGAAGCCGUGAAAGUGAGGUCGGCGUGACUUGAUGGUGUAAAUGUGGAGCUUGUAGCCAAGCUGUGCCGACAUAAUUGACGUGCUUAUCCAAGCUGAACCGGAAACAAAUGUUGGACCAAACGGACAACUGCUACUGAUACAAGCAGCACAUCACCGUACACUACACUGACUAAGCUGUCAAACUAGCUGUGUACAAAGAAAACAUACUAAUACUUUACAGAUACUGUAAUAUGAAUGUACAUGUUUUUCAGUCAGUUCAGAUUGGUGUCCUAUAGCAUUGUGUUGUGUAUUACAAACCAAAAGCCGUUCAGUUGUUGAGGCAGUCGCUAACUGACGGUUAAUAUGCCAUAGCACGCCGUCGCAAGACAAUGUGUUACUACGCUAGAAAAACAGUUCCUCAGUGUUCGCUCUUACAUUAACAAUGUCGCUACAGCUUGGUUAUUAUGCAGGUUACAGAUUGUAAAUGAACUAUUGUUGGCAUUUUCAAAGUGAUGUAGAGGCAGAAUGAACCGAUUAAUACAAAUUACAAUGCAACAAAAACCCAAAUCCUUUAGUUUUUUUUGUCUCUCAUAAGGAUUGUAAAUGAUAGGCAAAAUAAAAAAAUAAAAAAGUGCAGUUCCCCUUUAAGGCCUCUCUCAAACUGGCACAUUCUGAAUAGACAGCCAGAAAGCAACUUGAAGAUGGUUUGUAAAACAAAAUCUUUGCAACAUUUUGACCACCAUUACAUUUUAUGUAGACCACAAGGAAGUGUUUUAAAUUUAGAAAAAAAAAAAGGUCAAACUGUUCCCUUCAUAAAACCUCAAAUAACUUCACAAUCAUUAUCAAUCCCGCCUGCGAUUUGUUG